RNAcentral lists this ribosomal RNA (468 nucleotides) under uncultured bacterium. Its description in RNAcentral is "partial 16S ribosomal RNA". It matches the Rfam family "Bacterial small subunit ribosomal RNA", at positions 28 to 507 of the family's 1533-position model. The record is from RNAcentral.
GACGAACGCUGGCGGCGUGCUUAACACAUGCAAGUCGAACGGAAAGGCCCUGCUUUUGUCGGGUGCUCGAGUGGCGAACGGGUAAGUAACACGUGAGUAACCUGCCCUUGACUUUGGGAUAACUUCAGCAAACUGAGGCUCAUACCGGAUCGGAGCUCCUGCUGCAUGGUGGGGGUUGGAAAGUUUCGGCGGGUGGGGAUGGACUCUCGGCUUAUCGGCUUGUUGGUGGGGGAGUGGAUUACCAAGGCUUUGGCGGGUAGCCGGCCUGGGAGGGUGACCGGCCACAUUGGUACUGCGGUAGGGCCCAGACUCCUACUGGAGGCAGUAGUGGGGAACAUUGCACAAUGGGCGGAAGCCUGAUGCGGCGACGCCGCGUGCGUGAUGAGGGCCUGCGGGUUGUAAACCGCUGUCGGCUGUGACCAAGCGUGAGUGACGGUACUGGGUAAAGAAGCACCGGCUAACUACGUG